AUACGGAGGAUGCAAGCGUUAUCCGGAUUUAUUGGGUUUAAAGGGUGCGUAGGCGGUUUGCUAAGCGGGAGGUGAAAUGCCGGCGCUCAACGUCGGAAGUGCCUCCCGAACUGGUGGACUGGAAUGACUCUGCCGUGGGAGGAAUGUGUAGUGUAGCGGUGAAAUGCUUAGAGAUUACACAGAACACCGAUUGCGAAGGCAUCUCACGAAGGGUUGAUUGACGCUGAGGCACGAAAGCGUGGGGAUCUAACAGGAUUAGAUACCCUGGUAGUCCACGCAGUAAACGAUGAUGGCUAACCGCUGGUUUUUUCGGAUCAGUGGCCAAGCGAAAGCGAUAAGCCAUCCACCUGGGGAGUACGACCGCAAGGUUGAAACUCAAAGGAAUUGACGGGG
RNAcentral lists this ribosomal RNA (393 nucleotides) under uncultured bacterium. RNAcentral describes it as "partial 16S ribosomal RNA". It matches the Rfam family "Bacterial small subunit ribosomal RNA", at positions 523 to 918 of the family's 1533-position model. The record is from RNAcentral.